CAGCCGCCGCGGUAAUACGAAGGGGGCUAGCGUUGCUCGGAAUGACUGGGCGUAAAGGGCGCGUAGGCGGUUUGUACAGUUGGAUGUGAAAUUCCUGGGCUUAACCUGGGGGCUGCAUUCAAUACGUGCAGGCUUGAGUGGGGAAGAGGGUCGUGGAAUUCCCAGUGUAGAGGUGAAAUUCGUAGAUAUUGGGAAGAACACCGGUGGCAAAGGCGGCGACCUGGUCCUUGACUGACGCUGAGGCGCGAAAGCGUGGGGAGCAAACAGGAUUAGAUACCCCCGUAGUCCCUGUCUCUUAUAC
Molecule: ribosomal RNA, 301 nt
Filed under: uncultured bacterium
Lineage: Bacteria
Description: partial 16S ribosomal RNA
Rfam family: Bacterial small subunit ribosomal RNA
Source: RNAcentral